RNAcentral lists this ribosomal RNA (363 nucleotides) under Clostridioides difficile. RNAcentral describes it as "bacterial LSU rRNA". It matches the Rfam family "Bacterial large subunit ribosomal RNA", at positions 2044 to 2405 of the family's 2925-position model. Lineage: Bacteria; Bacillati; Bacillota; Clostridia; Peptostreptococcales; Peptostreptococcaceae. The record is from RNAcentral.
GUAAUUCCGGUGAAGAUGCCGGAUACCUGCGACAGGACGGAAAGACCCCAUGGAGCUUUACUGUAGCUUGACAUUGGGUCUUGGUACUACAUGUACAGGAUAGGUGGGAGGCUUUGAAACCAGGACGCCAGUUUUGGCGGAGCCAUCCUUGGGAUACCACCCUUGUAGUACUGGGACUCUAACCAUAGGCCAUGAAUCUGGUCUUGGGACACUGUCAGGUGGGCAGUUUGACUGGGGCGGUCGCCUCCCAAAAGGUAACGGAGGCGCUCAAAGGUUCUCUCAGUACGGGCGGAAAUCGUACGUAGAGUGUAAAGGCAAAAGAGAGCUUGAUUGCAAGACAUACAGGUCGAGCAAGGAUGAAAA